RNAcentral lists this ribosomal RNA (497 nucleotides) under uncultured bacterium. Its description in RNAcentral is "partial 16S ribosomal RNA". It matches the Rfam family "Bacterial small subunit ribosomal RNA", at positions 28 to 507 of the family's 1533-position model. The record is from RNAcentral.
GACGAACGCUGGCGGCGUGCCUAAUACAUGCAAGUUGAGCGCUGAAGGUUGGUACUUGUACCGACUGGAUGAGCAGCGAACGGGUGAGUAACGCGUGGGGAAUCUGCCUUUGAGCGGGGGACAACAUUUGGAAACGAAUGCUAAUACCGCAUAAAAACUUUAUACACAAGUUUUAAGUUUGAAAGAUGCAAUUGCAUCACUCAAAGAUGAUCCCGCGUUGUAUUAGCUAGUUGGUGAGGUAAAGGCUCACCAAGGCGAUGAUACAUAGCCGACCUGAGAGGGUGAUCGGCCACAUUGGGACUGAGACACGGCCCAAACUCCUACGGGAGGCAGCAGUAGGGAAUCUUCGGCAAUGGACGAAAGUCUGACCGAGCAACGCCGCGUGAGUGAAGAAGGUUUUCGGAUCGUAAAACUCUGUUGGUAGAGAAGAACGUUGGUGAGAGUGGAAAGCUCAUCAAGUGACGGUAACUACCCAGAAAGGGACGGCUAACUACGUG